AUUGAACGUUGGCGGCACGCCUAAUACAUGCAAGUCGAACGAGAAAGCACUUCGGUGUGAGUACAGUGGCGGACGGGUGAGUAACGCGUAGGAAUCUACCUAGUAGUGGGGGACAACUCGAGGAAACUCGAGCUAAUACCGCAUACGCUCUUAGGAGGAAAGUGGGGGAUCUUCGGACCUCACGCUAUUAGAGGAGCCUGCGUUAGAUUAGCUUGUUGGUGAGGUAAAGGCUCACCAAGGCGACGAUCUAUAGCUGGUCUGAGAGGACGAUCAGCCACACUGGAACUGAGACACGGUCCAGACUCCUACGGGAGGCAGCAGUAGGGAAUCUUGGGCAAUGGGCGAAAGCCUGACCCAGCGAUGCCGCGUGUGCGAAGAAGGCCUUAGGGUUGUAAAGCACUUUCAGUCGUGAAGAAAAGCUACGAUUUAAUAUGUCGUGGUCUUGACGUUAGCGACAGAAGAAGUACCGGCUAACUCCGUGCCAGCAGCCGCGGUAAUACGGAGGGUACGAACGUUAAUCGGAAUUACUGGGCGUAAAGCGCGCGUAGGCGGUUUGAUAAGUGGGAUGUGAAAGCCCCGGGCUCAACCUGGGAACUGCAUUCCAAACUGUCAAACUAGAGUGUGGUAGAGGGCGGUAGAAUUUCCUGUGUAGCGGUGAAAUGCGUAGAUAUAGGAAGGAAUACCGAUGGCGAAGGCAAGCCGCCU
Molecule: ribosomal RNA, 705 nt
Filed under: bacterium IMCC8434
Lineage: Bacteria
Description: bacterial SSU rRNA
Rfam family: Bacterial small subunit ribosomal RNA
Source: RNAcentral